CGGGUGAGUAAUGCUUAGGAAUCUGCCUAUUAGUGGGGGACAACAUUUCGAAAGGAAUGCUAAUACCGCAUACGUCCUACGGGAGAAAGCAGGGGAUCUUCGGACCUUGCGCUAAUAGAUGAGCCUAAGUCGGAUUAGCUAGUUGGUGGGGUAAAGGCCUACCAAGGCGACGAUCUGUAGCGGGUCUGAGAGGAUGAUCCGCCACACUGGGACUGAGACACGGCCCAGACUCCUACGGGAGGCAGCAGUGGGGAAUAUUGGACAAUGGGCGCAAGCCUGAUCCAGCCAUGCCGCGUGUGUGAAGAAGGCCUUAUGGUUGUAAAGCACUUUAAGCGAGGAGGAGGCUACUGAAGUUAAUACCUUCAGAUAGUGGACGUUACUCGCAGAAUAAGCACCGGCUAACUCUGUGCCAGCAGCCGCGGUAAUACAGAGGGUGCAAGCGUUAAUCGGAUUUACUGGGCGUAAAGCGCGCGUAGGCGGCUAAUUAAGUCAAAUGUGAAAUCCCCGAGCUUAACUUGGGAAUUGCAUUCGAUACUGGUUAGCUAGAGUGUGGGAGAGGAUGGUAGAAUUCCAGGUGUAGCGGUGAAAUGCGUAGAGAUCUGGAGGAAUACCGAUGGCGAAGGCAGCCAUCUGGCCUAACACUGACGCUGAGGUGCGAAAGCAUGGGGGAGCAAACAGGAUUAGAUACCCUGGUAGUCCAUGCCGUAAACGAUGUCUACUAGCCGUUGGGGCCUUUGAGGCUUUAGUGGCGCAGCUAACGCGAUAAGUAGACCGCC
This 776-nucleotide ribosomal RNA is filed under the name Acinetobacter calcoaceticus. RNAcentral's name for it is "bacterial SSU rRNA". It matches the Rfam family "Bacterial small subunit ribosomal RNA", at positions 103 to 873 of the family's 1533-position model. The record is from RNAcentral. Lineage: Bacteria; Pseudomonadati; Pseudomonadota; Gammaproteobacteria; Moraxellales; Moraxellaceae.